UACGUAGGGGGCAAGCGUUGUCCGGAUUUACUGGGCGUAAAGAGCGCGCAGGCGGUCGUAUAAGUCGAAUGUGAAAGCCCCCGGCUCAACUGGGGAGGGUCAUUCGAUACUGUUCGACUCGAAGGCAGGAGAGGGAAGUGGAAUUCCGGGUGUAGUGGUGAAAUGCGUAGAUAUCCGGAGGAACACCAGUGGCGAAGGCGACUUUCUGGCCUGUUCUUGACGCUGAGGCGCGAAAGCUAGGGGAGCAAACGGG
RNAcentral lists this ribosomal RNA (253 nucleotides) under uncultured bacterium. RNAcentral describes it as "partial 16S ribosomal RNA". It matches the Rfam family "Bacterial small subunit ribosomal RNA", at positions 524 to 776 of the family's 1533-position model. The record is from RNAcentral.